This 440-nucleotide ribosomal RNA is filed under the name uncultured bacterium. RNAcentral's name for it is "partial 16S ribosomal RNA". It matches the Rfam family "Bacterial small subunit ribosomal RNA", at positions 338 to 795 of the family's 1533-position model. The record is from RNAcentral.
CCUACGGGUGGCAGCAGUGGGGAAUAUUGCACAAUGGGGGAAACCCUGAUGCAGCGACGCCGCGUGAGUGAAGAAGGAAUUCGUUAUGUAAAGCUCUAUCAGCAGGGAAGAAAAUGACGGUACCUGAGUAAGAAGCCCCGGCUAACUACGGGCCAGCAGCCGCGGUAAUACGUAGGGGGCAAGCGGUAUCCGGAUUUACUGGGGGGAAAGGGAGCGUAGACGGCAGUGCAAGUCUGGAGUGAAAGGCGGGGGCUCAAACCCCGGACUGCUCUGGAAACUGUACGGCUGGAGUGCAGGAGAGGUAAGUGGAAUUCCUGGUGUAGCGGUGAAAUGCGUAGAUAUUAGGAGGAACACCAGUGGCGAAGGCGGCUUACUGGACUGUAACUGACGUUGAGGCUCGAAAGCGUGGGGAGCAAACAGGAUUAGAUACCCCGGUAGUC